RNAcentral lists this ribosomal RNA (497 nucleotides) under uncultured bacterium. RNAcentral describes it as "partial 16S ribosomal RNA". It matches the Rfam family "Bacterial small subunit ribosomal RNA", at positions 28 to 507 of the family's 1533-position model. The record is from RNAcentral.
GUUGAACGCUGGCGGCGUGCCUAAUACAUGCAAGUCGAGCGAACGGACGAGAAGCUUGCUUUUAUGAUGUUAGCGGCGGACGGGUGAGUAACACGUGGAUAACCUAUCUAUAAGAAUGGGAUAAGUUCGGGAAACCGGAGCUAAUACCGGAUAAUAUUUUGAACCGCAUGGUUCAAAAGUGAAAGAGGGUCUUGCUGUCACUUAUACAUGGAUCCGAGUUGGAUUAGCUAGUUGGUAAGGUAACGGCCUACCAAGGCUACGAUGCAUAGCCGACCUGUGAGGGUGAUCGGCCACACUGGAACUGAGACACGGUCCAGACUCCUACGGGAGGCAGCAGUAGGGAAUCUUCCGCAAUGGGCGAAAGCCUGACGGAGCAACGCCGCGUGUGUGAUGAAGGCCUUCGGAUCGUAAAACUCUGUUAUUUGGGGAGAACAGAUGUGUAAGUAACUGUUCACAUCUUGACGGUACCUAAUCAGAAAGCCACGGCUAACUACGUG